RNAcentral lists this non-coding RNA (31 nucleotides) under Rattus norvegicus (Norway rat). Lineage: Eukaryota; Metazoa; Chordata; Mammalia; Rodentia; Muridae. The record is from RNAcentral.
UGAGCUUUGGAAGAAUCUUAGGCUUACAUGC